Molecule: non-coding RNA, 111 nt
Organism: Acanthosepion pharaonis
Lineage: Eukaryota; Metazoa; Mollusca; Cephalopoda; Sepiida; Sepiidae
Source: the annotation of a GenBank genome assembly
CAGCCAGAUCACGUUGAAGCAUCGGUUCUCGUACGAUCGCCAAAGUUAAGCAACGUCAAGCCUGCUCAGUACCUAGAUGGGUGUCAACUUGGGAAUACCAGGUGCUGUAAG